UACGGAGGGAGCUAGCGUUGUUCGGAAUCAUUGGGUUUAAAGGGUCCGUAGGCGGUUUAAUAAGUCAGUGGUGAAAGCCCAUCGCUCAACGGUGGAACGGCCAUUGAUACUGUUAGACUUGAAUUAUUAGGAAGUAACUAGAAUAUGUAGUGUAGCGGUGAAAUGCUUAGAGAUUACAUGGAAUACCAAUUGCGAAGGCAGGUUACUACUAAUUGAUUGACGCUGAUGGACGAAAGCGUGGGGAGCAAACAGG
RNAcentral lists this ribosomal RNA (253 nucleotides) under uncultured bacterium. RNAcentral's name for it is "partial 16S ribosomal RNA". It matches the Rfam family "Bacterial small subunit ribosomal RNA", at positions 524 to 776 of the family's 1533-position model. The record is from RNAcentral.